CAAUGAAGAUCCUUGAACACCCAUGCUCG
This 29-nucleotide small RNA is filed under the name Arabidopsis thaliana (thale cress). RNAcentral's name for it is "ATSL205360". The record is from RNAcentral. Lineage: Eukaryota; Viridiplantae; Streptophyta; Magnoliopsida; Brassicales; Brassicaceae.